Ciona intestinalis (vase tunicate) is the source of this 1908-nucleotide non-coding RNA. Lineage: Eukaryota; Metazoa; Chordata; Ascidiacea; Phlebobranchia; Cionidae. The record is from RefSeq and is a predicted model, not a curated record.
UUGUUGUCUGUCUAGCAAUGGUAGCUUAGGUAUUCAUUCAGGCUUGUUUUGUUUUGUAGGGCAGUUCCCUGUUUGCUGGAACUUAUUUUAAGUUUGAACGCGAUAAGAUUAAACUGUGUUUUCAUCUUUCUUGUGAAAAUGGCUGAACUAAAUGAAAUACGGGAAGAGCCAGCUGGACCAUCAGUCGCAACUGCUGAGCAACAACCAACAAGCCGAGUGACAACCUUAGAGGAAUUGCUUCAAAGAGUUGCUUCUCUAUUGGAUGAAGACAAUUUAAGAAGAUUAUGCAAUCACUAUGGUUACUGUACUGAGAACAGAAGCUUUGGUACUGCGCUUGAGUUAUUUCAGUUUUUAGAAGAAGGUAAUCUCUGGGGCUGUGGUAAAGAACAAGAAAAGAUAAAAGUUUUGAUCAACCGAAUGAAAGAGUUGGGCCGCCAUGAUAUUGUUGGAAUAAUUCAAACUUUUAACCAUCAAGAAAACACUGUUGCUGUUCGUAACGUAGAACCUUCGUCGCUAAUCAGAGUGAAGGUUGAAACUACUGGUCAGUGCCAGUUGCAAGUCAAUGCAUCAGGAGAAUACAUUGUUCUCUUGGAAGACCACGUCUUCAACCUUGCUACUGCUAUAUUUCGGCAGUUUGAUGUUCGGCGUUUGUUGGCCAUAGGUGGUUCAGUUAUGGUGAUCUGUUAUGGCUUAUACAAGCUGGGAUACAAUGCUUUAUCAUUUUCCCUGGGUUGCGUUACAUUUGAUAUUACUACUGAGCUGGACAAAGAACAUACAGUUCGUCGCAGAUUGGAGAAUGGGACAUUCUUACAAGAGCUAAGGGAAGAAGUCAGUGAUAUAAUAGAAGAGCAUUAUGACAUACUGGGUGACCUUAAGGACUUUACUAUAAUCUCAUGUAAAGAAAUUUGCCAAAAUAAAGAAAAAGAGGAGCCCGUUAAAGAUGUUUCUGCAAGAAGGAUAGAAGGUUUGGUUAAGGAAAUGGCAGAGUUGAAAGAGUUGAUGAUUUCAUUGAAUGAGAAAGUUGGUGGUACUGUUGAAACAAAUCUAAAUUUUGAGAAAGAAGAGCUCGCGAGGCUUCCAGCUGAGCACAUUAUUGUGACUGGUGGUAGUACUUCUGGAGGCGGCUCUUUACAGCGGCUGAGGUCAGCACCCUAUACAACAGAUAGAGAACUGGCAAAAUUAAUGGCUAAGUCAAUGGAAAAGAUGCACCGAGUUAAAGUGAUUAAAUAGUUUCAACCCGAAGAACACAACACUCCUGUGAUGUUGGCUGAACCAAUGUCUUCAGAAAUCGCUUCAUCGGAUAUGUUCGAUGAUCAAAUGUUUUAUACUGUUGCGGACUUACCAGUUGCUAUACAAAGUAUAUUGGAAGGAAAUGAUUGAAACUUUGUCUCUUCCCAGGAUUUCCUAGAAGACCAUAUAUUGAUGUAGAAAUAACAUACAUUGUAGUUGCAUUAGACAUUUUAAUUUCUGUUUGUCAUUGGCCUAAUAGUUUAUAAAAUUAUACAUGUAAAAGUCACAUAAAAAUAAAGUGUUUGUAAACCACAUAGUAUUGUGACAUGUUAAUCCUGACUUGUUUUGCUGUAAUUCUUGAAUCAUUUUGUCAUAAAUAAUUUUGCAGUUGUUAAAAUUACCUUGAAUAAAUUUUUAGUAGUUAAAAUUUACAUAAAAUUAAUUUUUGCAGCAGUUAAAAUUAACAUAAAUAAUUUUGUUUGUGCCUUUGCAGUGGUUAAAACUUAUUUUUAAAACAAUGGAAAUUGUUUUAGGGUUUUAAAUAUAUAUUUUUUAUGUGUAUUGUUUACCACUGUUCGUAUAACCCUUGAUUGAUAUUUGAUUCAAUGCCUAGCAAUUAAUCACUGUGUAGGUUCUGUUGAUUUACUAAUCGAUUAUUCCAAUAAAAUUUUCGCUAGU